GUACUCGCUUUGGCAGCACAUAUACUAAAAUUGGAAGGAUGCAGAGAACAUUAGUAUGGCCUCUGCAUAAGGAUGACAUGCAAAUUUAUGAAGUGUUAAAAAAAAAA
Molecule: small nuclear RNA, 107 nt
Organism: Cynocephalus volans (Philippine flying lemur)
Lineage: Eukaryota; Metazoa; Chordata; Mammalia; Dermoptera; Cynocephalidae
Source: RefSeq, a predicted model, not a curated record